This 497-nucleotide ribosomal RNA is filed under the name uncultured bacterium. RNAcentral's name for it is "partial 16S ribosomal RNA". It matches the Rfam family "Bacterial small subunit ribosomal RNA", at positions 28 to 507 of the family's 1533-position model. The record is from RNAcentral.
GAUGAACGCUGGCGGCGUGCCUAAUACAUGCAAGUCGAGCGAACAGACGAGGAGCUUGCUCCUCUGACGUUAGCGGCGGACGGAUGAGUAACACGUGGAUAACCUACCUAUAAGACUGGGAUAACUUCGGGAAACCGGAGCUAAUACCGGAUAAUAUAUUGAACCGCAUGGUUCAAUAGUGAAAGACGGUUUUGCUGUCACUUAUAGAUGGAUCCGCGCCGCAUUAGCUAGUUGGUAAGGUAACGGCUUACCAAGGCGACGAUGCGUAGCCGACCUGAGAGGGUGAUCGGCCACACUGGAACUGAGACACGGUCCAGACUCCUACGGGAGGCAGCAGUAGGGAAUCUUCCGCAAAGGGCGAAAGCCUGACGGAGCAACGCCGCGUGAGUGAUGAAGGUCUUCGGAUCGUAAAACUCUGUUAUUAGGGAAGAACAAAUGUGUAAGUAACUAUGCACGUCUUGACGGUACCUAAUCAGAAAGCCACGGCUAACUACGUG